Molecule: small nucleolar RNA, 150 nt
Organism: Mesocricetus auratus (golden hamster)
Lineage: Eukaryota; Metazoa; Chordata; Mammalia; Rodentia; Cricetidae
Source: Ensembl
GCCUGCCUUAGUCAACAGGCAAGUCAACAUGCUGGGGAACAUUUGGCAGGUGAAAGCUGUCAAGGAAGCUGCGGCGCCAUAGCAAUUGCUGGUUCAUAACUGGGGCCCCCUGCCCAUCGCGGGCGGCCCUUUUAACUGCCAGCCACAGGC